Molecule: non-coding RNA, 2072 nt
Organism: Doryrhamphus excisus (bluestripe pipefish)
Lineage: Eukaryota; Metazoa; Chordata; Actinopteri; Syngnathiformes; Syngnathidae
Source: RefSeq, a predicted model, not a curated record
AGCACUUUGAGAUUUCUGUAAUGUAAAGUGCAAUAUAAAUAAAAUUUAUUAUUAUUAUUAAGUCAAGUCAGCAGUCUUCCCCAUUAUUGUAUAGCCAUGUGACCCAGACUGAGAGGCCAUUUAAAGGCCCAGGAUACCUUUGCAGGUGUAUUGAAUUAAUCAGUCGAUUAGGGUGUGACAGCAUGACUUUCCACAAUUUACCGCAUGCACAUCCAGCGAGUCCACGGUGAGAUCGUAGGGGUCCAUGUGGAGGUUGUUAAAGACUUGCUCCAGAGUGAUCUUUUGCCCGGCCUUCUCCAGAACCACCCGAUCCUUCUCUGUCUGAUGUGAACUUCCUGUGCGUUGUGGAUCAUUGUCCUGCUGCGGAACUCAAGUUAAUUUCAGCUGGAGUUCACAAACUGAUGGCCAGACAUUCUCCUUCAGGAUUUUUUGGUAGACAGCAGAAUUGUCUUCCCUGAAGCGAUGUGUCGGCAGGGAGCCUUGCUGGUGGCGUCAGCCAUCGGUGCUGAGCUCGGUGGUGGCGCUCCUCACCAGUGGCAGCACCGCCGUCAACACACAGCAGCAGAGGAGCGUCUGCAAACCUAAUCUCAUGUUGAUGGGACUCCUGAAAGUGAUGAAGCCUUAACACAGCUUAGUUUGGCAGGCAUUCUUUUAACAGGUCUUAAAAAGGGCCUUCGUUUGAGAAGGAUGCACACCAAACCAUGCAAGGUGGUGAAGUGAGCAGUCCGACCAGGUCAACAUUGGAAUCUGAACUAAGAAAAGAAGCCACUUACCCGACUCACUCUUCCUGCAGAUGCGAUGAAGACAAUGGAUGUCCGUGUUGUUGUGUACUCUUUAGCUGUCCUUACGAUCAGUGGAGGUCUGACGUGUAGACUAAGGACGUGGGAGGCUUUAUAGAAGCCGGGAGGGGGGAGCUGUACCUGAAUGCCAGAGCCAGGGGGAGGGACUGUGGGACAGUUCAUGUCAAGCCAUCCACCCCACAUGGAGACACACCACAUGUGCAUACAGUGGUGUGAAAACGUGUUUGCCCCCUCCUGAUUUUUUUGCCACAAUGUUUCAGAUCACCAAACAAAUUUAUAUAUAUAUUAGUAAAGGACAACACAACUGAACACAAAAUCCAAACCUACAUGGCCCUGUGUGGAAAUAGAUUGUCCCCUGUUAAAACAGAACUUUACUGAGGUUAACUGAGAUCUAUCAGUCUGAAAAAGGUUAUAAAGCCAUUCAUAAAGCUUUGGGACUCCAGCGAACCACAGUGAGAGCCAUUAUACACAAAUGGUGAACCUUCCCAGGAGUGGCCGGCCAACCAAAAUUAUCCCAAUAGUGCGGAGACGACUCAUCCAAGUGGUUGUAAAAGACCCCACAAUAACAUCCACAGAACCACAGGCCUCACUUGCCUCAGUGUUUAGGUCAGUGUUCAUGACUCCGCCAUAAGAAAGACACAGAGGGCAGAGUUUCAAGACAUAAACCACCGCUGAACAAAAAGAACAUUAAAGCAUUGUCUCAAUUUUGCAAGAAAACAUCUUGAUGAUCCCCGAGAGCUUUGGGAAAAUACUCUGACGAGACCAAAGUAGAACUUUUUGGAAGGUGUGUAUUUAUUUCCAUUACAUCUGGCAAAAAAGUAACGCCACCUUUCACCAAAAUAACAUCAUACCAACAGUAAAAUAUGUUGGUGGUAGUGUGACGGUCUAGGACUGUUCUGUUGCUUCAGGAAGUCUUGCUGUGGAAAUGGAACCAUGAAUUCUGCUGUCGACCAAAAAAUCCUGAAGGACAAUCCAGCCUCACUUGUGAAACACUGACUGUCUCUCAUUGUUACCUACUGUAGUACCAAUGGUUAGUGUUAUUUUGUCUGUUUGCUGCCUUUAAUUGCCCCCGGGGGUACAAAUAAAGUUAUAUGAAAAGAAUGGUAUAUACUGUAUAAUAAAUGAACAUAGCUGUACAAUAUUGGUUACACCUCGGCGAUCUGUAUGAAAAAUGUUUUGAUGGUAUUUUGGGGUAUUUUAAAUAGCUCAUCAUUGUUUUAGCUGAUGAAAGUAAUAAAAACAAAAACAGCUGUCAGCAGUGGCAUGCAGUAA